UUUCCGUAGGUGAACCUGCGGAAGGAUCAUUAAAGAGUUAGGGUCUUCUAGGCCCGACCUCCCAACCCUAUGUUUAUUGAACCUCUGUUGCUUCGGCGGACCCGCCUCACGGCCGCCGGAGGACCGCUGAAAGGCGUCCUCUGGCCAGCGUCCGCCGAUAGCCAACCACUUAAAACUCAAAAUAAAUCGUGUCAUAUGUCUAAGUCUUAUGAUUAAAUUAAAGCAAAACUUUCAACAACGGAUCUCUUGGUUCUG
RNAcentral lists this unclassified non-coding RNA (255 nucleotides) under soil metagenome. RNAcentral's name for it is "partial contains small subunit ribosomal RNA, internal transcribed spacer 1, and 5.8S ribosomal RNA". The record is from RNAcentral.